GAGUUUUAUAUUUAUUUUAUUAUUUGGCUAUAUUUGUAUAAUUUAAUGUUAAAUAAAAUUAAAUAUUAUAUUGGGGUGAUAGAAAAAUUAAAUUAACUUUUUUUAAAAUAUUAACAUAAAUAAAUGAAUUAAUGAUCCAUAAAUAAUGAUUAUAAGAAAAAAUUACCUUAGGGAUAACAGCGUAAUAUUUUUUUUUAGUGCAAAUAAGAAAAAGAGUUUGC
This 221-nucleotide ribosomal RNA is filed under the name Cissia penelope. RNAcentral describes it as "partial large subunit ribosomal RNA". The record is from RNAcentral. Lineage: Eukaryota; Metazoa; Arthropoda; Insecta; Lepidoptera; Nymphalidae.